AUUGAACGCUGGCGGCAGGCCUAACACAUGCAAGUCGAGCGGAGCGGCGGACGGGUGAGUAAUGCCUAGGAAUCUGCCUGGUAGUGGGUGAUCACGUCCGGAAACGGGCGCUAAUACCGCAUACUAUCAGAAGAGCCUAGGUCGGAUUAGCUAGUUGGUGGGGCAAAGGCCUAGCAAGGUGACGAUCCGUAACUGGUCUGAGAGGAUGAUCAGUCACACUGGGACUGAGAAACGGUCCAGACUCCUACGGUAGGCAGCAGUGGGGAAUCUUGGACAAUGGGCGAAAGCCUGAUCCAGCCAUGCCGCGUGUGUGAAGAAGGUCUUCGGAUUGUAAAGCACUUUAAGUUGGGAGGCGUUACCAACAGAGUAAGCACCGGCUAACUGCGUGCCAGCAGCCGCGGUAAUUC
RNAcentral lists this ribosomal RNA (407 nucleotides) under uncultured bacterium. RNAcentral's name for it is "partial 16S ribosomal RNA". It matches the Rfam family "Bacterial small subunit ribosomal RNA", at positions 30 to 526 of the family's 1533-position model. The record is from RNAcentral.